RNAcentral lists this ribosomal RNA (498 nucleotides) under uncultured bacterium. RNAcentral describes it as "partial 16S ribosomal RNA". It matches the Rfam family "Bacterial small subunit ribosomal RNA", at positions 28 to 507 of the family's 1533-position model. The record is from RNAcentral.
GACGAACGCUGGCGGCGUGCCUAAUACAUGCAAGUCGAACGAGAGCGACCGGUGCUUGCACUGGUCAAUCUAGUGGCGAACGGGUGAGUAACACGUGGGUAACCUGCCCAUCAGAGGGGGAUAACAUCCGGAAACGGAUGCUAAAACCGCAUAGGUCUUCGAGCCGCAUGGCUUGAAGAGGAAAAGAGGCGCAAGCUUCUGCUGAUGGAUGGACCCGCGGUGCAUUAGCUAGUUGGUGAGGUAACGGCUCACCAAGGCCGUGAUGCAUAGCCGACCUGAGAGGGUGAUCGGCCACAUUGGGACUGAGACACGGCCCAGACUCCUACGGGAGGCAGCAGUAGGGAAUCUUCCGCAACGGACGCAAGUCUGACGGAGCAACGCCGCGUGAGUGAAGAAGGUUUUCGGAUCGUAAAACUCUGUUGUUAGAGAAGAACAAGUGCUAGAGUAACUGUUAGCGCCUUGACGGUAUCUAACCAGAAAGCCACGGCUAACUACGUG